RNAcentral lists this long non-coding RNA (242 nucleotides) under Rosa chinensis. RNAcentral's name for it is "sRNA RchiOBHm_Chr5g0074211". The record is from RNAcentral. Lineage: Eukaryota; Viridiplantae; Streptophyta; Magnoliopsida; Rosales; Rosaceae.
UACUGGGAUCUGAAAGAUAGAUCAUUCAAAUCUCUCAAAGGUAAGGUUCUUGCACAAAUGUCUUUUUCGCACUAUUUAUUUCAGUUGCUAUUGAAAUUGAUGCUUUGAACUGUACGUGAUUUUGUGGGGAGCAAGACGGAAGAGGGUCAGUUUGUUUGUGCUCAAAAGAAGGAACUUUUUUGUGGUUCAAGGAAUUAGGAUUUUGGAGAUGCUGUGACAUGGUACAGAAGCUGAUAUAUCAG